RNAcentral lists this ribosomal RNA (254 nucleotides) under Graphis scripta. RNAcentral describes it as "partial small subunit ribosomal RNA". The record is from RNAcentral. Lineage: Eukaryota; Fungi; Ascomycota; Lecanoromycetes; Ostropales; Graphidaceae.
AUCAAGAGUAACGUGGCAACAUGGGAACUGAAAUCAUUAGGCCGUUUCUGAAACCCGUAGUGAAGUAUGUUGUUUAAUUUGUAGGUACGCAAAGAACCUUACCACAAUUUGUAUAGAUCGUACAAGCGUUGCACGGCUGNNNNAAGAGCCGUUUGUGAAACUUUGGUUAGGUCCAUUAAAUUGAUGUACNNNNNNAAUUUAUUUAUUAAAAAGUAGUUCGCUGCUGUAUGGGUAGCGAUAUAAGGGACUAAGAC